UAUUUUGAUUAAAUGCUAAAAUAUUACAGGCCAUAGACUUAAGGUUUAAAAAGAAGUUUCCUUAUUUGCUGGUAUUGUUAUUUUUUCAUAAAGAUUCAGGAAUUCAUUCUUCACAGUGGGCUAUAUUGAACGCACUCAAUGAACUACUUGGUAUAACUGGUAACUGAGUGGAGGGAUCAGUACUUCUAUUUUGUUGGACUUGUUCCACUUUAUAGCUCCAAAAUGCAUAAUGGGCUCUUAUUCUUUGGCAUGAUCCCUUUUAAUGGUUAUGGAAGGCUUUUUUAUCCAGAAAGUCUCAAUAGGAUCUCGGACCAUUAUCACUUAUUUGCUGGUUUUUUUUUCUCAUUAUCGCUUUCGUCGCUUUCCGAAUCUUUUUUCCCUCCGGUCUCCUGGCUAUUCUUACAUAUCCAUACAGUGGCCU
RNAcentral lists this small RNA (421 nucleotides) under Drosophila ananassae. RNAcentral's name for it is "GF28164". Lineage: Eukaryota; Metazoa; Arthropoda; Insecta; Diptera; Drosophilidae. The record is from RNAcentral.